UAAUUAACACUAACUUUUAUUUAUUUAUUAGAAAAAAAACCGCAGAAGUCCUAGUAAAAAAAUUAUAUUUAAUUUUGAAUAAUUUAAAUACAAAUCCGGAGAUGACAGGCUGAAAGGUGCCAGAGCUCAGAGCUCCAAUUUUUCUCACUAAAUUUUUGUCCCUCUGCAAGCUGUGCAAAUCUCACACAUUUUACGAGAAACCUGAAGCUUCGACGGAAGAGAUCGUCGGAAGUUGCAGAAGCUCAAGUGCUUCGCUGGGAAGGUCUAAACUCCGGCAAUGUGUAACUCACGCGCUCUAGUUUCAGUUGCUCUUCUUUUUAGCUUGGCUGUAGCUUCGGUCUCUGCUCAGGAAUCUGGUUCCAAGAUUCAUGGGAAACACUUAGCGGUAUUGUGUUUUUAUAGCUCUCAGUAUUUUGUGCCUUUUUCGUUUUGUUUAUGUUAUAUGCUGUACUUGAAGGAUUGAUUGUGCUUUGUUGAGAAACUAUCUUUGGAUGCUGAUAAACCAGUGGAAAGAUGAAAUGGAGUUCUUUUUUAUUUAUUUCUUUUUGGGGGGGGGGGGGGGGGGGUUCUCGUUUUUUUAGGCGAUCACAAACUGUUAUGCUGUUUGAACUGAGUGCGGUUUUGAUUAGACUUGGUUUAUUGAGCUCUAGAGUGGAAAUGGAAUGAAAAAUUGGGAGAUUUGAUUUUUCUUCUUGCAUUUUAAUUUUCCCUUUUUAUUUUCCAUAACUGGUUGGAGACGUUUCUUGUGAAUUUCUUUUUUGUUAUGAGAACUGGAAAGGGUGCAAGUUUGAAGUGACAUUUAUGAGUUGUGCUGCAGACGGCAGCAACUUACAUGUGGUGGGUUUAAAUAUUUCAAAACCGUUGGGUUAAUUGAAAUCUAUAGCUAAAUUUGUUUUUUUUUGGCUGAUUUGCUGCGCUGUCUUUAACAUAGUUUCAUUAUAGCACCUAACUAGGUCAGUUCUAUCAGCACCCUCGUUUAUGGAAUGUAGUUGGUCAAUUCACAUAUAUCAGGUUUCUAUACUUUCAAUUGGUUAAAGGAGAGAUAUGUCACUUUUUUCGUUUCGUUGAGCCGGUUUGGCUAUCAAAUAUUGGCUCUACUGAAGAUGAACGAGUUGAAUGGGUAUCAAAUUGCUUCGUAGAUUCAAAUCCAGUUCAAAUGUGGUUAUUGCCAUACCAUUUGAGUGAGUAUUGGAGGCUUGUAAUAAUUAAUUAUGAUCAUCAAUUAUGCUAUUAUUUGGAUUUUUUUGGCAAUUUCCCACUAGAUGAAAUUUAAUCCCUCAUUUUUAGGUAAUAAUCCAACCUAUUAAUUUUAUACUCUUGAAUUCAUUUAAAACUUUACUGUAUCUAAAUGUUUAUAUAUUUAUAUUGCAUAGUGUCUUUCAACGUUUGCGCACAAAUAAUGCGAAAACUAAGGAAGUUGUGUGGAGAAGUGUUAAGUGUUCAACCAGUAAAAUCAGUUCAAUGUGGAUUCUAUAUUAUAAGGAUGAUAAAAGACUUUGUCAAGAAUGAGGCUCCAACAAAAUGGCUAACUAGUAGCUGUGGCGGGAAGAUCUCUUACACAAAGGAAGAGAUCAAUGAAGUACGUGAAGAAUGGGCACAAUAUGUCAUGGAGUUUUUAAAUACUACAUGAUAAAUCUAUUCAUAUUUUGGCUAACCAAUUGAAAUAUGCAUGAGACUCAUUAUUUUGGAUAAUUAAUUCAAAUUUAGUCAUUUUAUUGUAAUUAACAAUGUUCUGGACGUUUUGUAUAAAAACAAGAAUUUUUUUGG
Molecule: long non-coding RNA, 1767 nt
Organism: Humulus lupulus (European hop)
Lineage: Eukaryota; Viridiplantae; Streptophyta; Magnoliopsida; Rosales; Cannabaceae
Exons: 4
Source: RefSeq, a predicted model, not a curated record